Molecule: ribosomal RNA, 495 nt
Filed under: uncultured Desulfobulbus sp.
Lineage: Bacteria; Pseudomonadati; Thermodesulfobacteriota; Desulfobulbia; Desulfobulbales; Desulfobulbaceae
Description: bacterial SSU rRNA
Rfam family: Bacterial small subunit ribosomal RNA
Source: RNAcentral
CAGAAACUACAAAGGAAUUGACGGGGCCCGGCACAAGCGGUGGAGUAUGUGGUUAAUUCGAUGCAACGACGAAGAACCUUACCUGGUCUUGACAUCCCGGAGACCCUUAGGAAACUAGGGGUGCUUCCAUCUGGAAGAAUCUGGAGACAGGUGCUGCAUGGCUGUCGUCAGCUCGUGUCGUGAGAUGUUGGGUUAAGUCCCGCAACGAGCGCAACCCUUGCCUUUAGUUGCCAGCAGUUCGGCUGGGCACUCUAAAGGGACUGCCGGUGUUAAACCGGAGGAAGGUGGGGAUGACGUCAAGUCCUCAUGGCCUUUAUGACCAGGGCUACACACGUACUACAAUGGCCGAUACAAAGGGCAGCGACACUGCGAGGUGAAGCCAAUCCCGUAAAAUCGGUCUCAGUCCGGAUUGGAGUCUGCAACUCGACUCCAUGAAGUUGGAAUCGCUAGUAAUCGUGGAUCAGCCAAGCCGCGGUGAAUACGUUCCCGGGCCUU